RNAcentral lists this transfer-messenger RNA (369 nucleotides) under Hymenobacter aranciens. It matches the Rfam family "transfer-messenger RNA". Rfam says of the family: Bacterial tmRNA, also known as 10Sa RNA or SsrA, is named for its dual tRNA and mRNA-like properties. Its role is to liberate the mRNA from a stalled ribosome. To accomplish this part of the tmRNA is used as a reading frame that ends in a translation stop signal. Lineage: Bacteria; Pseudomonadati; Bacteroidota; Cytophagia; Cytophagales; Hymenobacteraceae. The record is from RNAcentral.
GGGGCUGACCGGAAUUGACAGCUUGUGCAUGUCGCGGGUAAGCGUGCCGGGAGGUGGUGGAAUCUCCCGUUAAAAAAUCUACCAAACAACAACCGGCGACUAUUCGUACGCCAUGGCUGCCUAGUUUAGAAUUAGGUAAUGCCAUCGUUCCGCCUGGGUAAGCUUUUACACCUGGGAGUUCGGAGCGUCGUAAGUAGAAGAUAGUCUGCGAGGAGUGGUGACUCGCAGGCGAAACCCAACUGCCAAUACGGGAACACCAAAGGCCUGAUGUGCGCCCGGGGUUCCCCGACAAUCCAAGCAUAGAUACGCACGUAGAAAGCACGACGGCUUCCUUGUCUGGACCAGGGUUCAAGAUUCGGACCUCCCCCC